CCCUUAGAUGUUCUGGGCCGCACACGCGCUACACUGAAGGAGGCAGCGUGUACUCCUGGAUCGAAAGAUUUGGGUAACCCGCGAAUCUCCUUCGUGCUAGGGAUUGAGGUUUGCAAUUAUCCUCCAUGAACGAGGAAUUCCCAGUAAGUGCAAGUCAUAAGCUUGCGCUGACUACGUCCCUGCCCUUUGUACACACCGCCCGUCGCUACUACCGAUUGAAUGAUUUAGUGAGGACUUCGGACUGGGACCGAUGCGGCUUUCGGGCUGCGUCGGUAUUCUGGAAAGAUAUCCAAACUGUAUCAUUUAGAGGAAGUAAAAGUCGUANCA
Molecule: ribosomal RNA, 327 nt
Filed under: uncultured eukaryote
Lineage: Eukaryota
Description: partial 18S ribosomal RNA
Rfam family: Eukaryotic small subunit ribosomal RNA
Source: RNAcentral